Molecule: transfer RNA, 58 nt
Filed under: Fragilariopsis kerguelensis
Lineage: Eukaryota; Bacillariophyta; Bacillariophyceae; Bacillariales; Bacillariaceae
Description: partial tRNA
Source: RNAcentral
UGUAGGUGGUUAGCAUACUUGCCUUUCACGCAGGAUACCAGGGUUCGAGUCCCUAUAU